Molecule: microRNA precursor, 412 nt
Filed under: Gossypium raimondii (Peruvian cotton)
Lineage: Eukaryota; Viridiplantae; Streptophyta; Magnoliopsida; Malvales; Malvaceae
Description: miR8705 stem-loop (gra-MIR8705)
Source: miRBase by way of RNAcentral
AUGUUCAACCAGUUCAUACUAGUUCGUGGGUCAAUUAGAUUUUUACCUCUCACUGAAUUGAUAACUUAUUUUGUUCUUAAUCCAAUCAGUCCAACCAGUUUAGAUAACAUUGAAUUUUGAUCUUUUUUAUAUUUUUAAAAUAUUUUUUCAAAGAAGUCUUUAUUUUUGGAUUUUAAAAUGUUCUUUUUUUUCAUAUUUUUACGUUUAAAAAAUAUUUUUAAACAUAUUUGUGUUUAAAAUAAGAAAAAUGAUAAUUUUUAAUUUUAAAAAAUUACGUAUUUUUAAAGGGUAUAAACCAAAUUGACAAAAAAUUGUAAAUGUUAAGAACUAAAAUAGUUUAAAAGUUUUAAAAUCGGUUGACACGCGAAUUAAAAUGAACUGAUCUGACUGAACUAAAAAAUAAGUUGAAUUA